This 65-nucleotide transfer RNA is filed under the name Pavlova sp. CCMP459. The stretch from base 5 to 61 matches the Rfam family "tRNA", at positions 8 to 63 of the family's 71-position model. Rfam says of the family: Transfer RNA (tRNA) molecules are approximately 80 nucleotides in length. Their secondary structure includes four short double-helical elements and three loops (D, anti-codon, and T loops). Further hydrogen bonds mediate the characteristic L-shaped molecular structure. tRNAs have two regions of fundamental functional importance: the anti-codon, which is responsible for specific mRNA codon recognition, and the 3' end, to which the tRNAs corresponding amino acid is attached (by aminoacyl-tRNA synthetases). tRNAs cope with the degeneracy of the genetic code in two manners: having more than one tRNA (with a specific anti-codon) for a particular amino acid; and 'wobble' base-pairing, i.e. permitting non-standard base-pairing at the 3rd anti-codon position. Lineage: Eukaryota; Haptophyta; Pavlovophyceae; Pavlovales; Pavlovaceae. The record is from RNAcentral.
CGUUUAGCUCAGUGGUAGAGCGUGGCACCCGUAAUGCUAAGGUCGUUGGUUCGAUCCCGACUUCG